RNAcentral lists this ribosomal RNA (301 nucleotides) under uncultured bacterium. RNAcentral's name for it is "partial 16S ribosomal RNA". It matches the Rfam family "Bacterial small subunit ribosomal RNA", at positions 509 to 807 of the family's 1533-position model. The record is from RNAcentral.
CAGUCGCCGCGGUAAUACGAAGGUCCCGAGCGUUGUUCGGAAUCACUGGGCGUAAAGGGAGCGUAGGCGGCGUGGUAAGUCAGAUGUGAAAUCCCGGGGCUCAACCCCGGAACUGCAUCCGAUACUGCCAUGCUAGAGGAGUGGAGAGGUAGCUGGAAUUCUUGGUGUAGCAGUGAAAUGCGUGGAGAUCAAGAGGAACACUCGUGGCGAAAGCGAGCUACUGGACAAUAACUGACGCUGAGGCUCGAAGGCCAGGGUAGCGAAAGGGAUUAGAUACCCCCGUAGUCCCUGUCUCUUAUAC